Molecule: long non-coding RNA, 319 nt
Organism: Humulus lupulus (European hop)
Lineage: Eukaryota; Viridiplantae; Streptophyta; Magnoliopsida; Rosales; Cannabaceae
Exons: 2
Source: RefSeq, a predicted model, not a curated record
AAAUAACAAAAGAUUCAUUCUCAUUGCCUUAUUAUUCCCUGUUGCAGACCAGGUUCUAAAUGUCAUGUUCAUCCACAUGAGAGGGGUAUAGUUGAUUUCCACCCUAUAUAUUUCCAUUCAAAUGAGGCCAGUGGAGCUAUGAAACCAAUUACUUAUGGUUCCAUAUAAUUAACGACAGUUGACCAAUCAAGAUUUAGAAGGACUCGAGUUACUAAGGAUGGUAUUAUUCUUUUUGCAGCCAUCAUUGUUGUGGCUGCUCUUAUUAUGACUUUUAUUUGUGAAUGUGUUUUGAUUAUUAGGAAAGAUCUCCUUUUGAAAA